This 71-nucleotide transfer RNA is filed under the name Bos taurus (domestic cattle). It matches the Rfam family "tRNA". Rfam says of the family: Transfer RNA (tRNA) molecules are approximately 80 nucleotides in length. Lineage: Eukaryota; Metazoa; Chordata; Mammalia; Artiodactyla; Bovidae. RNAcentral also lists the same sequence under 3 other names. The record is from Rfam by way of RNAcentral.
UCUUGGUGGCUCAGAUGGUAAAGAGUCUGCCUGCAAUGCAGGGGACCCAGGUUCGAUCCCUGGGUCAGGAA